Molecule: ribosomal RNA, 200 nt
Filed under: uncultured eukaryote
Lineage: Eukaryota
Description: partial 18S ribosomal RNA
Rfam family: Eukaryotic small subunit ribosomal RNA
Source: RNAcentral
GCUCCAAUAGCGUAUAUUUAAGUUGUUGCAGUUAAAAAGCUCGUAGUUGGACCUUCGGGCGGAGGUCUCGGUCUGCCGUUUCGGUUGAUACUGUCUCCUCCGUCCUUCCUGUCGGGAACGCGCCUGGCCUUCACUGGCUGGGGCGCGGGCGCGACGACGUUACUUUGAAAAAAUUAGAGUGUUCAAAGCAGGCCACGUUC